RNAcentral lists this unclassified non-coding RNA (373 nucleotides) under uncultured Prevotellaceae bacterium. RNAcentral describes it as "contains 16S-23S intergenic spacer region". Lineage: Bacteria; Pseudomonadati; Bacteroidota; Bacteroidia; Bacteroidales; Prevotellaceae. The record is from RNAcentral.
UCACACCUUACGGUGGCAGUAUCUCCAGAGUGCCCAGCUUAACCUGAUGGCAACUAAAGACAGGGGUUGCGCUCGUUAUGGCACUUAAGCCGACACCUCACGGCACGAGCUGACGACAACCAUGCAGCACCUUCACAGAGACCCCGAAGGGCGUCAUUAUCUCUAAAUCCUUCCUCUGCAAUUCAAGCCCGGGUAAGGUUCCUCGCGUAUCAUCGAAUUAAACCACAUGUUCCUCCGCUUGUGCGGGCCCCCGUCAAUUCCUUUGAGUUUCACCGUUGCCGGCGUACUCCCCAGGUGGGAUGCUUAAUGCUUUCGCUUAGCCGCUGAUACCAGGUACCAACAGCGGGCAUCCAUCGUUUACUGUGCGGACUAC